AGUCCUUCCUUUUCAAUGCAGCACAGUUCACACAAGAGUAGUCGCUUGGUACAUCUACUUUCUUCCUCUCUUUCUUCUUGUUGUUCAUUUUUUGCCACUGACCCUUCUCUUGCCCUUGACCUUGCGUAAGCGGUAAUGUGUGGUUCAUUUGUGCUUCAUGGUGAUUUUCAUCCUGAGUUUGCAGUACCAGCCCAGUUGCUUAUGUGCUCCCUGUACAUAUCUUUUAGGAUCUCGUGCUGCUCUCCAUGCUUGAAUGUCAAAGAUGAUGAUAUACCCCUGAUGCUUUAUUGAAAUAAUAUAUAUUAGUUUUAUUCUAUCAGGUGUAAUGAUCCCCAUCUGAGGGCAUUUUAUCAUGUACAUGGUCCUCUUGCUCCCCCCCCCCCAAAUCUGUUUAUAUGUCUGAAGCUGAAUCCUCAUGAUGCUUAAUCUACCUAUUAUUCUGAUUGUUGGAA
Molecule: long non-coding RNA, 452 nt
Organism: Solanum stenotomum
Lineage: Eukaryota; Viridiplantae; Streptophyta; Magnoliopsida; Solanales; Solanaceae
Exons: 2
Source: RefSeq, a predicted model, not a curated record